AGCCUCGUAGCUCAGUUGGCUAGAGCGUUGGCUGUACUAAAGCCUUCCCCUUGCUGGCCUGGGUUCGAAUCUCACCGAGGCCA
Non-coding RNA from Schistocephalus solidus, 83 nucleotides. NCBI's taxonomy places the organism in Eukaryota, Metazoa, Platyhelminthes, Cestoda, Diphyllobothriidea, Diphyllobothriidae. The record is from Rfam.